This is a long non-coding RNA of Salvia miltiorrhiza (redroot sage), 356 nucleotides long. RefSeq lists it as uncharacterized. The record is from RefSeq and is a predicted model, not a curated record. The transcript has 3 exons. NCBI's taxonomy places the organism in Eukaryota, Viridiplantae, Streptophyta, Magnoliopsida, Lamiales, Lamiaceae.
CUUAUUCAUCUAAUUCCUCACCCCAGCAACGAAAUUCAAACAGAAAAAUCACCAAGCCUAGCUCAUCAAGCAUCUUUUGCAGAAAACAGAAAUCAUUGAACAGAAUACAUACAAAAGGCUUUGAACGUCAGGAGGAUUAGCACUGCUAUUCCGAUUCAGAGAUAAGGUUAAACGACAGGCUUUGCCUAAACAGGUUAACGGCUGGUGCUGACGGGGCGAGCUGAGGCUAGGGUUCAACUCCGUGUUUUGACUUCUGCUGUAGAACUAGUUAAUAUAUGUCUUUUGUUUCCUUAACUUAAGACCGUUAUGUUGUGACUCUAAACAAUAUAUAUUUUGUUGAGCCGAGACUUUCAAUU